UUAGUGGCGGACGGGUGAGUAACGCGUGGAUAACCUGCCGUAUACCGGGGAUAACACUUAGAAAUAGGUGCUAAUACCGCACUAAGCGCACGGCUCCGCAUGGGGCAGUGUGAAAAACUCCGGUGGUAUACGAUGGAUCCGCGUCUGAUUAGCUAGUUGGCGGGGUAACGGCCCACCAAGGCAGCGAUCAGUAGCCGGCCGUGAGAGGGUGAACGGCCCACAUUGGGACUGAGACACGGCCCAAACUCCUACGGAAGGCAGCAG
Molecule: ribosomal RNA, 264 nt
Filed under: uncultured bacterium
Lineage: Bacteria
Description: partial 16S ribosomal RNA
Rfam family: Bacterial small subunit ribosomal RNA
Source: RNAcentral